CGCUGGCGGCAGGCUUAACACAUGCAAGUCGAGCGCCCCGCAAGGGGAGCGGCAGACGGGUGAGUAACGCGUGGGAACCUACCUGAAGGUACGGAACAACUCCGGGAAACUGGAGCUAAUACCGUAUGUGCCCGAAAGGGGAAAGAUUCAUCGCCUUCAGAUGGGCCCGCGUCAGAUUAGCUAGUUGGUGGGGUAAUGGCCCACCAAGGCGACGAUCUGUAGCUGGUCUGAGAGGAUGAUCAGCCACACUGGGACUGAGACACGGCCCAGACUCCUACGGGAGGCAGCAGUGGGGAAUAUUGGACAAUGGGCGCAUGCCUGAUCCAGCCAUGCCGCGUGAGUGAUGACGGCCUUAGGGUUGUAAAGCUCUUUCGACGGGGACGAUAAUGACGGUACCCGUAGAAGAAGCCCCGGCUAACUUCGUGCCAGCAGCCGCGGUAAUACGAAGGGGGCUAGCGUUGUUCGGAAUCACUGGGCGUAAAGCGCACGUAGGCGGAUUGUUAAGUCGGGGGUGAAAUCCUGAGGCUCAACCUCAGAACUGCCUUCGAUACUGGCAAUCUCGAGUCCGGAAGAGGUUGGUGGAACAGCUAGUGUAGAGGU
This 600-nucleotide ribosomal RNA is filed under the name uncultured soil bacterium. Its description in RNAcentral is "bacterial SSU rRNA". It matches the Rfam family "Bacterial small subunit ribosomal RNA", at positions 34 to 682 of the family's 1533-position model. The record is from RNAcentral.